RNAcentral lists this ribosomal RNA (468 nucleotides) under uncultured bacterium. Its description in RNAcentral is "partial 16S ribosomal RNA". It matches the Rfam family "Bacterial small subunit ribosomal RNA", at positions 28 to 507 of the family's 1533-position model. The record is from RNAcentral.
GACGAACGCUGGCGGCGUGCUUAACACAUGCAAGUCGAACGGAAAGGCCCUGCUUUUGUGGGGUGCUCGAGUGGCGAACGGGUGAGUAACACGUGAGUAACCUGCCCUUGACUUUGGGAUAACUUCAGGAAACUGGGGCUAAUACCGGAUAGGAGCUCCUGCUGCAUGGUGGGGGUUGGAAAGUUUCGGCGGCUGGGGAUGGACUCGCGGCUUAUCAGCUUGUUGGUGGGGUAGUGGCUUACCAAGGCUUUGACGGGUAGCCGGCCUGAGAGGGUGACCGGCCACAUUGGGACUGAGGUACGGCCCAGACUCCUACGGGAGGGAGCAGUGGGGAAUAAUGCACAAUGGGCGGAAGGCUGAUGCAGCAACGCCGCGUGCGGGAUGACGGCCUUCGGGUUGUAAACCGCUUUCGCCUGUGACGAAGCGUGAGUGACGGUAAUGGGUAAAGAAGCACCGGCUAACUACGUG